Molecule: ribosomal RNA, 512 nt
Filed under: uncultured bacterium
Lineage: Bacteria
Description: bacterial SSU rRNA
Rfam family: Bacterial small subunit ribosomal RNA
Source: RNAcentral
CGCUGGCGGCGUGCCUAAUACAUGCAAGUCGAACGGUCUUUCUAUGGAAGCUUGCUUCCACUGAGAAGAUAGUGGCGAACGGGUGAGUAACACGUGGGUAACCUGCCCAUAAGAGGGGGAUAACAUCCGGAAACGGGUGCUAAUACCGCAUAGUUUUCUUGAUCGCAUGAUCGGGAAAGGAGAGACGGCCUUUGUGCUGUCGCUUAUGGAUGGACCCGCGGCGUAUUAGUUAGUUGGUGAGGUAAUGGCUCACCAAGACGAUGAUACGUAGCCGACCUGAGAGGGUGAUCGGCCACAUUGGGACUGAGACACGGCCCAAACUCCUACGGGAGGCAGCAGUAGGGAAUCUUCCGCAAUGGACGAAAGUCUGACGGAGCAACGCCGCGUGAGUGAAGAAGGUUUUUCCGGAUCGUAAAACUCUGUUGUCAGAGAAGAACAAGUUGGAGAGUAACUGCUCCAGCCUUGACGGUAUCUGACCAGAAAGCCACGGCUAACUACGUGCCAGCAGCCGC